UGUAUUUGCCUUUGCAAGUUGAAAUGUGUUGUUUUUAAUGAAGAUCUCCCAUGACUUCCACUUUGUGGUGCCUCGAUUCGGCUGGUGCAGUAACAGGAACAAAUGGAAGUGCUGAUUUGCAUGAGGAGCUGGAGAUCCGUUCUAGCAAAGCUGCUCUGCCGAGGGCAGCACCUCGGUGUGCUCAGCACCGGAUCACAUUAAUCACAGGGUGCUCAGCCACCCUAUUCAGCCUCCUACAGAAAUACAGAAGUACAUUUUUAGCAGAAAAAAAGAACUGAACAGAAUGUUUAUUUCAAAGCUACAACACUGAGGCUUGAAAUCUCAAAAUGACACAUGGGUCUGGUUUGGAAAAGGGCAUGAGAUGAAAUGCCUUUGCUGAUUCUCCAGGUCCUUUUUCAUACUGUUUCUCUGAAUGAAAUACAAACUCAGCAGAACCUCA
This is a long non-coding RNA of Agelaius phoeniceus (red-winged blackbird), 439 nucleotides long. RefSeq lists it as uncharacterized. Lineage: Eukaryota; Metazoa; Chordata; Aves; Passeriformes; Icteridae. The record is from RefSeq and is a predicted model, not a curated record.